AAUCCUCUGUCGCUGAAUUCUGUAUAAAGAAGCGGGGGAACCAAUUACCGGGGUGAAUCCUUUUUGAGGUAGGGUUACUCUAUCGACCCGAAUCCGUCAGCUAACCUCGCAAGCGUUGAAGAGAGAUGAA
RNAcentral lists this small RNA (130 nucleotides) under Peptococcaceae bacterium. RNAcentral describes it as "c-di-AMP sequence". It matches the Rfam family "c-di-AMP riboswitch aptamer (ydaO/yuaA leader)". Rfam says of the family: This family represents a conserved RNA structure found upstream of the ydaO and yuaA genes in Bacillus subtilis and related genes in other bacteria. Lineage: Bacteria; Bacillati; Bacillota; Clostridia; Eubacteriales; Peptococcaceae. The record is from RNAcentral.